Molecule: ribosomal RNA, 515 nt
Filed under: uncultured bacterium
Lineage: Bacteria
Description: partial 16S ribosomal RNA
Rfam family: Bacterial small subunit ribosomal RNA
Source: RNAcentral
GAUGAACGCUGGCGGCGUGCCUAAUACAUGCAAGUCGAGCGAAUGGAUUAAGAGCUUGCUCUUAUGAAGUUAGCGGCGGACGGGUGAGUAACACGUGGGUAACCUGCCCAUAAGACUGGGAUAACUCCGGGAAACCGGGGCUAAUACCGGAUAACAUUUUGAACCGCAUGGUUCGAAAUUGAAAGGCGGCUUCGGCUGUCACUUAUGGAUGGACCCGCGUCGCAUUAGCUAGUUGGUGAGGUAACGGCUCACCAAGGCAACGAUGCGUAGCCGACCUGAGAGGGUGAUCGGCCACACUGGGACUGAGACACGGGCCAGACUCCUACGGGAGGCAGCAGUAGGAAAUCUUCCGCAAUGGACGAAAGUCUGACGGAGCAACGCCGCGUGAGUGACGAAGGCUUUCGGGUCGUAAAACUCUGUUGUUAGGGAAGAACAAGUGCUAGUUGAAUAAGCUGACACCUUGACGGUACCUAACCAGAAAGCCACGGCUAACUACGUGCCAGCCGCCGCGGUAA